Molecule: long non-coding RNA, 1001 nt
Filed under: Canis lupus dingo (dingo)
Lineage: Eukaryota; Metazoa; Chordata; Mammalia; Carnivora; Canidae
Description: lncRNA (ENSCAFG00020024225.1)
Source: RNAcentral
GAGACACAUACCAGAUAUGCUCCGGCUCCCCCGGCUCCCCCAGCUGCCGGGACGUAUCACAUUCCUCGCUCCUCGACUGACACACUCGGCGGCUCCAAGAAAACCUACGGGGUAAGUGUCUCAGGACGGCGCUGGGCAGCAGCCGGUCUCCCUGAUGACCACUCGGGCCCGGGGCUCCUGAGCUCUCUCAUGUGUCUGGGAUUCCCCCACUUUUACAAAGGAAAUGUUUCGGGCCAGAGAGGGCCAGGGACUCGCCUAAGGUCAGCCACCGCCGAUGGGCGUAAUAGUACUAAACACUAAUAUUUAUGGGGCUCUCAGUUUGUGCCAGGCUCUCUAUAUGCAUCACGACACUGCAUCCUCAGGACCAACUACCUUCGUGGCAGAUCGGAGGAGAAGACACCCAGAGAGGCUAAGCAACUCACCCUCGGUCGCACAGCUAUGGGAUGCCACGUUAAGACGGGAAAUGGGGACGCCAGCUUGCAGGAUGUGGGCAGAGGCCUUUGGGAACCACUCCUUGCCCACCUGGCUGUCAGAACUGCUGUCGAGUUAAUAAAACUGAUGAGGGAAGGAGACAAGGAGGGGAACAAGGAGGAUUACAGGACUGCCCCCCAGAAUGAAGAAGAGACAUGCUCCAUGGAGGAUAGCACUCACCUGGGACAAUCCAGGCUGCUGGGUAGGACCUCAUCACGACUCCCUCCAGGCUGCUGAGGCUGAGAAAGGACCAGGGAUUCAGAGUGACUCAGAUACCAGGCGCUGCCAGACCUCACUGAAAACUCUCCUGCUCAUCAAACAAUGGCACUUGUUUUAAUCAACUCUGGGGCACCUGGGUGGCUCAGUGGUUGAGCAUCUGCCUUCAGCUCACAGCGUGAUCCCGGGGUCUAGGGAUCGAGUUUUGCAUCAGGCUCCUCACGGGGAGCCUGCUUCUCUCCCUCUGCCUAUGUCUCUGCCUCUCUGUGUGUCUCUCAUGAAUAAAUAAAUAAAGUCUUAAAAAAAAAAAAUCA